GAUGAACGCUGGCGGCGUGCUUAACACAUGCGAGUCGAACGAUGAAGCCCAGCUUGCUGGGUGGAUUAGUGGCGAACGGGUGAGUAACACGUGAGCAACCUGCCCCUGACUCUGGGAUAAGCGCUGGAAACGGCGUCUAAUACUGGAUAUGUCCCGUCACCGCAUGGUGUGCGGGUGGAAAGAUUUUUCGGUUGGGGAUGGGCUCGCGGCCUAUCAGCUUGUUGGUGAGGUAAUGGCUCACCAAGGCGUCGACGGGUAGCCGGCCUGAGAGGGUGACCGGCCACACUGGGACUGAGACACGGCCCAGACUCCUACGGGGGGCAGCAGUGGGGAAUAUUGCACAAUGGGCGGAAGCCUGAUGCAGCAACGCCGCGUGAGGGAUGACGGCCUUCGGGUUGUAAACCUCUUUUAGCAGGGAAGAAGCGAAAGUGACGGUACCUGAAGAAAAAGCACCGGCUAACUACGUGC
RNAcentral lists this ribosomal RNA (468 nucleotides) under uncultured bacterium. RNAcentral's name for it is "partial 16S ribosomal RNA". It matches the Rfam family "Bacterial small subunit ribosomal RNA", at positions 28 to 508 of the family's 1533-position model. The record is from RNAcentral.